GAAUAAUUCUGUUACAAAGUUUACUUACAAAUUUCGAAAUUGAAGUUCUAUCAGGUCAAUUGAUAAAUAUAUGUAUGUGUGUUUCUAUUUUUACAGCCUCUGAAGAAAUUUCCAUUCUGGUUUCUGAUUGAGGCUAACUCCCAAGGAAGCAAUGAAGCAAGGAAACAGGUUAUUGGGGUGGGGAAGAUUCACUUCAUAUGGUUACAAUGUAACCUGUUUGAUCUCUGCUUUGAUAUCCCAUGUAAGCUCUCCCUUUAAUUAUACAUAUGUAUUUUUUAGAUAUCUUUUGAAAAUUUAAUUGUCAUCCCAAACUAGCACCCUUAAUUUUGAAUUAGGUGGAGAAAGGAAGUUUAAUGCUUUGUGGCUUUCUAAUUUACUUUGUUCUUCUGGGAUGAGGUCUCUGGGAAGAUUUGCAGUUUCUAUGGUGAUCAGUUACUCUUUCUCCCCAACAAUGAUGGGACAUGAAAAAAUAGAAUUGGAUACUGCUACCUGCUACUUUCCCGAUCAAUGACAGAUUAUGCAGCUUUUUGUGUGGAGUAAAUUCUCCAAUGAGAUCCUAUGGAGGCUUGUUUUUCAUCUUCUGGUUAGCUUUUUCGUCUGUUAAGGUUUCGGAAAGCCCUUUGCUAAUGCCAAUUAUAGUUUAAUAGAUAAGUGACUGGUCAAUUGGGGAAUUCUCAAUAUGGACUACCGCCACAA
This is a long non-coding RNA of Mangifera indica (mango), 696 nucleotides long. RefSeq lists it as uncharacterized. The transcript is spliced from 4 exons. The record is from RefSeq and is a predicted model, not a curated record. NCBI's taxonomy places the organism in Eukaryota, Viridiplantae, Streptophyta, Magnoliopsida, Sapindales, Anacardiaceae.